GGAUGGGUGGCCGAGUGGUUUAAGGCACCGGUCUUGAAAACCGGCGUGGGUGCAAGCCCACCGUGGGUUCGAAUCCCACCCCAUCCGCCA
Molecule: transfer RNA, 90 nt
Filed under: Hyphomicrobium sp.
Lineage: Bacteria; Pseudomonadati; Pseudomonadota; Alphaproteobacteria; Hyphomicrobiales; Hyphomicrobiaceae
Also listed under: 11 other names
Description: tRNA-Ser
Rfam family: tRNA
About the family: Transfer RNA (tRNA) molecules are approximately 80 nucleotides in length. Their secondary structure includes four short double-helical elements and three loops (D, anti-codon, and T loops). Further hydrogen bonds mediate the characteristic L-shaped molecular structure. tRNAs have two regions of fundamental functional importance: the anti-codon, which is responsible for specific mRNA codon recognition, and the 3' end, to which the tRNAs corresponding amino acid is attached (by aminoacyl-tRNA synthetases). tRNAs cope with the degeneracy of the genetic code in two manners: having more than one tRNA (with a specific anti-codon) for a particular amino acid; and 'wobble' base-pairing, i.e. permitting non-standard base-pairing at the 3rd anti-codon position.
Source: RNAcentral